This 202-nucleotide ribosomal RNA is filed under the name uncultured bacterium. RNAcentral's name for it is "partial 16S ribosomal RNA". It matches the Rfam family "Bacterial small subunit ribosomal RNA", at positions 1299 to 1500 of the family's 1533-position model. The record is from RNAcentral.
UGCAGGCUGCAACCCGCCUGCAUGAAGUUGGAAUCGCUAGUAAUCGCGGAUCAGCAUGCCGCGGUGAAUACGUUCCCGGGCCUUGUACACACCGCCCGUCACACCAUGAGAGUCGGGAACACCCGAAGUCCGUAGCCUAACCGCAAGGGGGGCGCGGCCGAAGGUGGGUUCGAUAAUUGGGGUGAAGUCGUAACAAGGUACC